Molecule: ribosomal RNA, 404 nt
Filed under: uncultured bacterium
Lineage: Bacteria
Description: bacterial SSU rRNA
Rfam family: Bacterial small subunit ribosomal RNA
Source: RNAcentral
GUUUGAUCCUGGCUCAGAAUCAACGCUGGCGGCGUGCCUAACACAUGCAAGUCGCACGAGAAAGGGACUUCGGUCCUGAGUACAGUGGCGCACGGGUGAGUAACACGUGACUUAUCUACCUCCGAGUGGGGAAUAACCUAGAGAAAUCUGGGCUAAUACCGCAUAACACUUACGAGUCAAAGCAGCAAUGCGCUUGGAGAGGAGGUCGCGGCAGAUUAGUUAGUUGGCGGGGUAAUGGCCCACCAAGACGAUGAUCUGUAUCCGGCCUGAGAGGGCGCACGGACACACUGGAACUGAAACACGGUCCAGACUCCUACGGGAGGCAGCAGUGGGGAAUUUUGCGCAAUGGGGGAAACCCUGACGCAGCAACGCCGCGUGGAGGAUGAAAUCCCUUGGGAUGUAAA